Molecule: non-coding RNA, 138 nt
Organism: Ornithorhynchus anatinus (platypus)
Lineage: Eukaryota; Metazoa; Chordata; Mammalia; Monotremata; Ornithorhynchidae
Source: Rfam
CCCCUCUCAGGGUAGCACCUGGAGAGUUUCCAGUACUCUACCAGUCUCAACUAUGGAAGGGAAAGUCAGGCAGAGGCAUAUCCAUUCAAUUUUUAGCUCGGGCAGAGGCUAGCUAGUGGAAGGCAAUCUGCUACAUGU